GUAGGUGGCACGCGUUGUCCGGAAUUAUUGGGCGUAAAGCGCGCGCAGGCGGUUCUUUAAGUCUGAUGUGAAAGCCCACGGCUCAACCGUGGAGGGUCAUUGGAAACUGGAGAACUUGAGUACAGAAGAGGAAAGCGGAAUUCCACGUGUAGCGGUGAAAUGCGUAGAGAUGUGGAGGAACACCAGUGGCGAAGGCGGCUUUCUGGUCUGUAACUGACGCUGAGGCGCGAAAGCGUGGGGGAGCAAACAGGAUUAGAUACCCUGGUAGUCCACGCCGUAAACGAUGAGUGCUAAGUGUUAGGGGGUUUCCGCCCCUUAGUGCUGCAGCUAACGCAUUAAGCACUCCGCCCUGGGAGUACGGCCGCAAGGCUG
This 372-nucleotide ribosomal RNA is filed under the name uncultured organism. RNAcentral's name for it is "partial 16S ribosomal RNA". It matches the Rfam family "Bacterial small subunit ribosomal RNA", at positions 527 to 896 of the family's 1533-position model. The record is from RNAcentral.